Molecule: long non-coding RNA, 1774 nt
Organism: Passer domesticus (house sparrow)
Lineage: Eukaryota; Metazoa; Chordata; Aves; Passeriformes; Passeridae
Exons: 8
Source: RefSeq, a predicted model, not a curated record
UGCACCUGUAGCCAGCUCCAGGUAGUGCCCUAGGUGGAAGCAGUUACCCCUUUCCUCUGCAAAACAGCAGCAAUUUGCUUUGUGAUCAGACCAGUGGUUCCAACAAGCCUUUAUUAGUGGCAUGAGCUCCUGCAGCCCAUUGCCCAGCAGGUCUGCCUGCCCCUCAUCGCGGCCCGGCCAGCCGGGCUCUGCCCGGGGAGCAGCCGUGAGGGCAGCCCCGCAGUGUCCUCGGCAGCGCUGCGAGACCCCGGCUCUGCUUCCAGGCGCCGUGUGAUGCCAAGCAAAGGAACACAGAGAUGUUACCAGCGGGCACCUCUGCCCGCUUCCGACACGACUGGAAUGAGAGAAUUACAAAAAUACAGCCCUCAACUACUCAGCACAGAGGAAUUUUGUACUAAAGGGAUGAACACAUCCAGGAUCAAUAAAUGAACCACACCCAGGCAAAAUUACCUUUGGGAUCAGGGUAUCUCCCUGUUGCAUGCAGCUUUGGAGAGGUAAAGUCACUUCCUGAAUCUUUGAGAACAGAAAUACCCUUGUCAGAAGAAGAAUUUCAGUGCUUUUACCAGUGAACUGAGUUUUUUGACUGGCAUCAGUGUUUCAUGGUUCACAUAUUUAGCUGACCAACCUAAUAUGCAGUGUGUCAGAUGGAUCAGCAUUCUCUCUGCAGCUGUCAGGCUGUUUUGAAAAACAGACACAGAAGCCAGUACAGGUAAUGAUGUCUGCAGAGGAACAUGAUACCAAGGGGUUGGAGUUUUUAUUCCUACUCUCAAGGGGCUCUCAAGACUUUCAAACUAGAGACUCAAAGCUAUAAGGAGUGCAUCAAGAGCUGUCCUGACAUCUUUUAAAGAGCCUUUCCCUUCAUUGCUGCAUAAAGGUGAACCUAACUCAUACAGAAGACAGCUUGAACAGAAGCAGACAGAGCUGAGCAGCCAGAGGGAGCAUGGCUCGCAGGCUGACCCCUCUGUACAAUAAUACCAGUUGCCAAGCUGUUAAACAACCUCCAGAAAUGCUAUGUCAGUAAAACCAGCUGAGGAAGAGGCCUGUAUCAUUUGAAUUAUGAACGGGACAUGAAGUGGGUUUGACUGGACUGUCAUCAUCUGCCUCUGUUGUGAGCUGAAUGGUUCUUACAAUGCAGUGUUUUCACAGAUUGAGUCAUGUCAAUGAAGUGAGGUAACAGUAUUUCAGUAACAGGGUCAUCACAGAGUCUCUCCAGUGCAAGCGACCUCCAGGUGACAGUGUUAGCUUGACUGAUUGAAAGCAGUGAGAAAACAUUUUGGACAUGUUGUGACACCUUACACAAACAAAGAAACACAGGUGGGGGUUGCAUCCUGAAUCAAAUUAAGUCUGGGAUUUAACUCUUAUUUUUGGAGUUCUAAAACUGAAUGAAACUCAUAAAUUUAUUGUCAGGUGCUUUUAGUACUGAUUUGUAAUCUGUGAAGCUUCAUGCAGAACUUCACUUAAUUUCUCUCAAGAAAUAUCCCACCACAAGGGAUUAAGAAGUUUUUACCAAUAGUUCCAAAUAAAUCCCUUCAUCAUAAAGAAUUAAGUAAAACAAAGAAAAAUUUUUUGGUUUAUAGUAAAUUGAAAUAUUUUCCCAUGGCUUGAGAGUGAGCUAUUCUUAUAAACUAAAUUAUCUACCUGUCUGUCAAGUAAAUGCAUCAAUGUUACAUAUUGUCCUUGACAGAUUCUGGUUUUGCACAAUAUUUCAGUCAUUAACAUGUGUAGUUGCUGGCUCAUGGGAAUAUUUUUCAUAUAUCAUCUUUUGCUUCCCUGA